GAAUCUAGCUUNAGGUCGGGGACAACCACUGGAAACGGUGGCUAAUACCGGAUGUGCCGAAAGGUGAAAGAUUUAUUGCCUAAAGAUGAGCUCGCGUCUGAUUAGCUAGUAGGUGUGGUAAGAGCGCACCUAGGCGACGAUCAGUAGCUGGUCUGAGAGGAUGAUCAGCCACACUGGGACUGAGACACGGCCCAGACUCCUACGGGAGGCAGCAGUGGGGAAUUUUCCGCAAUGGGCGAAAGCCUGACGGAGCAAUACCGCGUGAGGGAGGAAGGCUCUUGGGUUGUAAACCUCUUUUCUCAGGGAAGAAAAAAAUGACGGUACCUGAGGAAUAAGCAUCGGCUAACUCCGUGCCAGCAGCCGCGGUAAUACGGAGGAUGCAAGCGUUAUCCGGAAUGAUUGGGCGUAAAGCGUCCGCAGGUGGCUAUGUAAGUCUGCUGUUAAAGAGUGAGGCUCAACCUCAUAAGAGCAGUGGAAACUACAUAGCUAGAGUGCGUCGGGGCAGAGGGAAUCCUGGUGUAGCGGUGAAAUGCGUAGAGAUCAGGAAGAACACGGUGGCGAAAGCGCUCUGCUAGGCCGCAACUGACACUGAGGGACGAAAGCUUAGGGGAGCG
This 614-nucleotide ribosomal RNA is filed under the name uncultured bacterium. RNAcentral's name for it is "bacterial SSU rRNA". It matches the Rfam family "Bacterial small subunit ribosomal RNA", at positions 122 to 770 of the family's 1533-position model. The record is from RNAcentral.